GGCUAUACAUGCAAGGUCGAGCGAACUGAUUAGAAGCUUGCUUCUAUGACGUUAGCGGCGGACGGGUGAGUAACACGUGGGCAACCUGCCUGUAAGACUGGGAUAACUUCGGGAAACCGAAGCUAAUACCGGAUAGGAUCUUCUCCUUCAUGGGAGAUGAUUGAAAGAUGGUUUCGGCUAUCACUUACAGAUGGGCCCGCGGUGCAUUAGCUAGUUGGUGAGGUAACGGCUCACCAAGGCAACGAUGCAUAGCCGACCUGAGAGGGUGAUCGGCCACACUGGGACUGAGACACGGCCCAGACUCCUACGGGAGGCAGCAGUAGGGAAUCUUCCGCAAUGGACGAAAGUCUGACGGAGCAACGCCGCGUGAGUGAUGAAGGCUUUCGGGUCGUAAAACUCUGUUGUUAGGGAAGAACAAGUACGAGAGUAACUGCUCGUACCUUGACGGUACCUAACCAGAAAGCCACGGCUAACUACGUGCCAGCAGCCGCGGUAAUACGUAGGUGGCAAGCGUUAUCCGGAAUUAUUGGGCGUAAAGCGCGCGCAGGCGGUUUCUUAAGUCUGAUGUGAAAGCCCACGGCUCAACCGUGGAGGGUCAUUGGAAACUGGGGAACUUGAGUGCAGAAGAGAAAAGCGGAAUUCCACGUGUAGCGGUGAAAU
Molecule: ribosomal RNA, 660 nt
Filed under: Bacillus sp. JSM 081043
Lineage: Bacteria; Bacillati; Bacillota; Bacilli; Caryophanales; Bacillaceae
Description: bacterial SSU rRNA
Rfam family: Bacterial small subunit ribosomal RNA
Source: RNAcentral